AUGUGUUUACCCCACUGGAAGGCGGUGACCCUCCCGAAGAGUAGUCAGGCUUUGCUGGUGCAGUCUGUCCUCUCCGCAAUUUCGGUUCACUCGAUGCUAGCUCUCGACCUCCCUCCGAGGACCAUUGCUGCCAUGAUCAAUAUCUGUCGUGGCUUCCUUUGGGCUGGCAAGGCAGACGCGGGAGGAGGUGCUUGCGCUGUGGCCUGGGAGAGGGUGUGCACACCCAAAUGGGCCGGUGGCCUAGGUAUCCUGGACAUGAGAUGGAUGAACGUGGCCCUACAGGCCAAGUGGCUUCGGUUGCAGCGGAUUGAUCAAAAUAGGCCUUGGCCAGAGUUCUCGUUCUUCGUCUCGAAGGAAUCGAGGAAACUAUUCCAGGCGAUGACCUGCGCGGCCAUGGGAGAUAGGCGAGGCACACUCUUCUAG
This 423-nucleotide ribosomal RNA is filed under the name Triticum aestivum (bread wheat). Its description in RNAcentral is "partial small subunit ribosomal RNA". The record is from RNAcentral. Lineage: Eukaryota; Viridiplantae; Streptophyta; Magnoliopsida; Poales; Poaceae.